RNAcentral lists this transfer RNA (74 nucleotides) under Treponema sp. RNAcentral describes it as "tRNA-Val". It matches the Rfam family "tRNA". From Rfam's summary of the family: Transfer RNA (tRNA) molecules are approximately 80 nucleotides in length. Their secondary structure includes four short double-helical elements and three loops (D, anti-codon, and T loops). Further hydrogen bonds mediate the characteristic L-shaped molecular structure. tRNAs have two regions of fundamental functional importance: the anti-codon, which is responsible for specific mRNA codon recognition, and the 3' end, to which the tRNAs corresponding amino acid is attached (by aminoacyl-tRNA synthetases). tRNAs cope with the degeneracy of the genetic code in two manners: having more than one tRNA (with a specific anti-codon) for a particular amino acid; and 'wobble' base-pairing, i.e. permitting non-standard base-pairing at the 3rd anti-codon position. The record is from RNAcentral. Lineage: Bacteria; Pseudomonadati; Spirochaetota; Spirochaetia; Treponematales; Treponemataceae.
GCGGAAUUAGCUCAGUUGGUUAGAGUACUAGCAUGACACGCUAGGGGUCACAAGUUCGACUCUUGUAUUCCGCA